RNAcentral lists this non-coding RNA (29 nucleotides) under Bombyx mori (domestic silkworm). Lineage: Eukaryota; Metazoa; Arthropoda; Insecta; Lepidoptera; Bombycidae. The record is from RNAcentral.
UCAUCGGAUGCGUCACGCCGAAGUGUGGC